RNAcentral lists this ribosomal RNA (493 nucleotides) under uncultured bacterium. RNAcentral describes it as "partial 16S ribosomal RNA". It matches the Rfam family "Bacterial small subunit ribosomal RNA", at positions 29 to 523 of the family's 1533-position model. The record is from RNAcentral.
AUUGAACGCUGGCGGCAUGCUUUACACAUGCAAGUCGAACGGUAACAGGUUAAGCUGACGAGUGGCGAACGGGUGAGUAAUGCAUCGGAACGUGCCCGGUCGUGGGGGAUAACGCAGCGAAAGCUGCGCUAAUACCGCAUACGAUCUGAGGAUGAAAGCGGGGGACCGUAAGGCCUCGCGCGAGCGGAGCGGCCGAUGUCAGAUUAGGUAGUUGGUGGGGUAAAGGCUCACCAAGCCAACGAUCUGUAGCUGGUCUGAGAGGACGACCAGCCACACUGGGACUGAGACACGGCCCAGACUCCUACGGGAGGCAGGAGUGGGGAAUUUUGGACAAUGGGCGAAAGCCUGAUCCAGCAAUGCCGCGUGCAGGAAGAAGGCCUUCGGGUUGUAAACUGCUUUUGUACGGAGCGAAAAGGUCUCCUCUAAUACAGGGGGCUCAUGACGGUACCGUAAGAAUAAGCACCGGCUAACUACGUGCCAGCCGCCGCAGUAA